CCUACGGGGGGCAGCAGUGAGGAAUAUUGGUCAAUGGACGAGAGUCUGAACCAGCCAAGUAGCGUGAAGGAUGACUGCCCUAUGGGUUGUAAACUUCUUUUAUAUGGGAAUAACAUGUUCCACGUGUGGGAUUUUGUAUGUACCAUAUGAAUAAGGAUCGGCUAACUCCGUGCCAGCAGCCGCGGUAAUACGGAGGAUCCGAGCGUUAUCCGGAUUUAUUGGGUUUAAGGGGAGCGUAGGUGGAUUGUUAAGUCAGUUGUGAAAGUUUGCGGCUCAACCGUAAAAUUGCAGUUGAAACUGGCAGUCUUGAGUACAGUAGAGGUGGGCGGAAUUCGUGGUGUAGCGGUGAAAUGCUUAGAUAUCACGAAGAACUCCGAUUGCGAAGGCAGUUCACUGGACUGCAACUGACACUGAGGCUCGAAAGUGUGAGUAUCAAACAGGAUUAGAUACCCCAGUAGUC
RNAcentral lists this ribosomal RNA (460 nucleotides) under uncultured bacterium. RNAcentral describes it as "partial 16S ribosomal RNA". It matches the Rfam family "Bacterial small subunit ribosomal RNA", at positions 338 to 795 of the family's 1533-position model. The record is from RNAcentral.